GGUUUUUGUACGUGGCCUAAGGGAGCCCGGGGCAAUGUGACUACUUUGACUACUGGGGCCAGGGCACCAUGGUCACCGUCUCCUCAGAGAGCGUGUCUGCUCCCAACGUCUUCCCCCUCGUCUCCUGUGAGAACUCCCUGUACGAUGAGCGCCUGGUGGCCAUGGGCUGCCUGGCCAAGGACUUCCUGCCCAUCCCCGUCACCUUCUCCUGGAAAUUUAAGAACACCAGCGACAUCAUCAACCAGAACAUCCAGACCUUCCCAUCGGUCCUGAGGGGAGGCAAGUACGAGGCCAGCUCGCAACUGCUCCUGCCCAGCGCUGACAUCCUCCAGGGCACGGACGAGUUCGUGACGUGCAAGGUCAAACACUCCAAUGGCGAAAAAGAGGUGCAAGUGCCCAUCCCAGGUGAGCGAGGCCUCCCCCCUGGCGGGCGGGCGGGCGAGGGGGGUGGGCAGCCUUGUCCCCUCCCCCCGCGACUCCUUCACUGGCCCCGGCCCCCGCACGUCCACGCUCAUCUGCCAGGCCACAGGCUUCAACCCCAGGAAGAUUGCGGUGUCCUGGCUGAAGGACGGGAAGCCGCUGAACUCCGGCAUCGUCACGGACAAACCAGAGGUCGAGCGCAAAGCCCGCCCCGUGACCUACAGGGUCACCAGCAGGCUGACCAUCACCGAGAGCGACUGGCUCAGCCAGAGCGUGUUCACCUGCCAAGUGGAACACCAGGAGCUGAUCUACCAGAAGAAUGUGUCGUCCAUGUGCGGCCCCAGUUCGUCCACCAUCCGAGUCUUCACCAUCCCCCCAACCUUUGCCAGCAUCUUCCUCACCAAAGAGGCCACUCUGUCCUGCCUGGUCACGGACCUGGCCACCUAUGACAGCCUGAGCAUCACCUGGACCCGCCGGAAUGGCGAGGAGUUGAAAACCCACGUCAACAUCUCUGAGAGCCACCCCAAUGCCACCUUCAGUGCCAUAGGCAAGGCCACGGUGUGCGUGGAGGACUGGGAGUCGGGCCAGGAGUUCACCUGCACAGUGACCCACACGGACCUGCCCUCGCCGCUGAAGCACACCAUCUUCAGGCCCAAGGAAAACGCCAAGCACAUGCCCGCGGUGUACGUGCAGCCACCCAGCCGGGAGCAGCUGAGCCUGCGGGAGUCGGCCUCAGUCACCUGCCUGGUGAAGAGCUUCUCACCCCCAGACACCACUUGCCACCACUGCCCCCACCCCUGCCUCAUCCACUGGACUCCCACCUGCCUCUCAAAGCCCUGA
Non-coding RNA from Myotis davidii, 1260 nucleotides. NCBI's taxonomy places the organism in Eukaryota, Metazoa, Chordata, Mammalia, Chiroptera, Vespertilionidae. The record is from the annotation of a RefSeq genome assembly.